RNAcentral lists this long non-coding RNA (364 nucleotides) under Bos taurus (domestic cattle). RNAcentral describes it as "long non-coding RNA NONBTAT016941". Lineage: Eukaryota; Metazoa; Chordata; Mammalia; Artiodactyla; Bovidae. The record is from RNAcentral.
UAGUCAUCAAUCAUAAAAAUAAUAAUCUAGAAAGAAUAUGAAACCUAAAUUACUGAUUUUAAGGUCUCCAGUUUGGAGUUUGCCAUGAAGCAAUAUAAAAUUUUGUGUUAUGGCCGAAAUAAUUUUCUCCCCGUAUGAAUAAUUCAGGAGUAUGUUAUUUAUCCUUGCAAUCUCCUACUCAGUUUCCAUUAGAGAUUUAACUGCUACAAUAGAACAUUUGACCAUUAUCAUUUCAGAGGGCUACAUUUUUCAAGGGACAUGAUUUACAACAAGGCAAAGUUCUUUUGAUAUUAAACCCAUAUUUUUUAAAAGCCUUUGCUUAUCUUUUUUUUUUUCCUCUCUCAGGAAAAAUUGGAUGUAGGAG